Molecule: long non-coding RNA, 1219 nt
Organism: Xenopus laevis (African clawed frog)
Lineage: Eukaryota; Metazoa; Chordata; Amphibia; Anura; Pipidae
Exons: 3
Source: RefSeq, a predicted model, not a curated record
GAAAUUACCUUCCCCAGAUACCCAGGGAACCCUCUGUAGCUACUGCACUGGUAAGAAGUGACUGUAUAUCUACAUCCCUCUCCCACCUGCACAGAAAGUACCUUCCCCAAAUACCCAGGGAACUCACCGUAAAUACUGCAAUGGGAAACAGUAGCUAUUCUUGGAUUGGUUAGCCACCCUUUGGCCUUGAGUACAGCAUGCAGUUAGGUAAAUGUCCACCAAGAAUUCGGAUAUCAUACAGGCCAUGUUCUUUGUACGGUUAUUUCCCCUUUUAUCCUCAUAUGACCUGGCUUACGGUAGAAGAGAUGCCAAGGAGAAAGAUCUUAGCUGGAUAAACAUUGAUCUCAGUAGUAUUAACAAAUCAUCAGUGAGGUCUUCAUGUCCUCUCCUUAGCAGUGCUGCAGCUGUGUGUAUCAUUUCCCAGUAAAGUCCUGCCUUUUCUGUUGGCUACACUACUGUAUCUUAUCAUCAUAUUAAUUAGCCUUUAUUAUAUACGCUAUCUGUCUGCAGAUUAGAGAAAGGGAUGUUCCUUCCAGCACUCACUUCCUGGCAUUACUACGGAGGAGGACAACAGGAAACAGAAAGUCAUCUCCACUGCCGAAGUAAUACAAGAGCAGAUUACUUGAUGCUGCCACAACCUUUCAAAAAAGGAGCCUGAGCAGUCUGGUAGAUUGACCAUACUUAAAAGAUAUCGCACAUCACAAGCACAAGGAAGAAAGAAAUUAAAUGGUUUCACCAAGAUCCCAUCCUCCUUCAGUAAUGAAAAUUCACCUGCACCUGCAUUUCAUGCCUCAAGCACUAACCUAAAUCUGAAUGGGGCAGGGAAUCGUUGUACCAAGAUAAAACUGAAUUUAGAGCAAGGUCUGCUUAACAGCCAUAAAACAAUAAAAAUAAUUCCAUAAAGAUAAAUGUUCAAUUUAUUGUUUUACUGUUAUUGUGAUAACAGUAGAUGACGAGGCGGAAAAUACAAGAAGCUGUAAACCUUAUCCUCCCGCACACUCCUGUACAGGAUAUCUAAUAGGUACAUAGGGUUUUGCCCCAAGCUACCAAUAUCUGGCCAACAGAAACCAAAAAAAGAAUCUGCACAAGGACAUUCAUUAUCCAGAGAGAAGAGAAAAGUACUGGAUCAAUAAGGAAGAGAUGAGGUAGUUAAGAAAUUGGUCAGGAUAAAACCGGUUAGAGUCCUGCGUGGGUCCAUUUUUUGGAACCCAUACCCAAC